This 537-nucleotide ribosomal RNA is filed under the name Nosema sp. B PSH-2011. Its description in RNAcentral is "SSU rRNA". It matches the Rfam family "Microsporidia small subunit ribosomal RNA", at positions 1 to 594 of the family's 1311-position model. Lineage: Eukaryota; Fungi; Microsporidia; Nosematidae. The record is from RNAcentral.
CCAGGUUGAUUCUGCCUGACGUAGACGCUAUUCCCUAAGAUUAACCCAUGCAUGUUUUUGACAUUUGAAAAAUGGACUGCUCAGUAAUACUCACUUUAUUUUAUGUAUAUUUGAAAUUUACUACGUUAAAGUGUAGAUAAGAUGUGUACAGUAAGAGUGAGACCUAUCAGCUAGUUGUUAAGGUAAUGGCUUAACAAGGCAGUGACGGGUAACGGUAUUACUUUGUAAUAUUCCGGAGAAGGAGCCUGAGAGACGGCUACUAAGUCUAAGGAUUGCAGCAGGGGCGAAACUUGACCUAUGGAUUUUAUCUGAGGCAGUUAUGGGAAGUAAUAUUAUAUUGUUUCAUAUUGUAAAAGUAUAUGAGGUGAUUAAUUGGAGGGCAAAUCAAGUGCCAGCAGCCGCGGUAAUACUUGUUCCAAGAGUGUGUAUGAUGAUUGAUGCAGUUAAAAAGUCCGUAGUUUAUUUUUAAGAAGCAAUAUGAGGUGUACUGUAUAGUUGGGAGAAAGAUGAAAUGUGACGACCCUGACUGGACGAACA